GGUUUGAUUAUGGCUCAGAUUGAACGCUGGCGGGAUGCUUUACAUGCAAGUCGAACAGCAGCACGGACUUCAGUCUGGUGGCGAGUGGCGAACGGGUGAGUAAUGUAUCGGAACGUGCCUAAUGUGAGGAUAACUACGCGAAAGCGUAACUAAUACCACAUACGCCCUUCGAAAAGGAAAGCGGGGACCUUCGGGCCUCGCACUAUUAGAGCGGCCGAUAUCGGAUUAGCU
Molecule: unclassified non-coding RNA, 231 nt
Filed under: uncultured Bordetella sp.
Lineage: Bacteria; Pseudomonadati; Pseudomonadota; Betaproteobacteria; Burkholderiales; Alcaligenaceae
Description: partial 16S-23S ribosomal RNA intergenic spacer
Rfam family: Bacterial small subunit ribosomal RNA
Source: RNAcentral